Molecule: ribosomal RNA, 436 nt
Filed under: uncultured Pseudomonas sp.
Lineage: Bacteria; Pseudomonadati; Pseudomonadota; Gammaproteobacteria; Pseudomonadales; Pseudomonadaceae
Description: bacterial SSU rRNA
Rfam family: Bacterial small subunit ribosomal RNA
Source: RNAcentral
ACGUUUCGAAAGGAACGCUAAUACCGCAUACGUCCUACGGGAGAAAGUGGGGGAUCUUCGGACCUYGCGCUAUCAGAUGAGCCUAGGUCGGAUUAGCUAGUUGGUGAGGUAAUGGCUCACCAAGGCGACGAUCCGUAACUGGUCUGAGAGGAUGAUCAGUCACACUGGAACUGAGACACGGUCCAGACUCCUACGGGAGGCAGCAGUGGGGAAUAUUGGACAAUGGGCGAAAGCCUGAUCCAGCCAUGCCGCGUGUGUGAAGAAGGUCUUCGGAUUGUAAAGCACUUUAAGUUGGGAGGAAGGGCAUUAASYUAAUACCUUGSUGUUUUGACGUUACCRACAGAAUAAGCACCGGCUAACUYYGUGCCAGCAGCCGCGGUAAUACAAAGGGUGCAAGCGUUAAUCGGAAUUACUGGGCGUAAAGCGCGCGUAGGUG